UGGUUGGUUUUGGGUCUCUGUUUGACA
Molecule: small RNA, 27 nt
Filed under: Bombyx mori (domestic silkworm)
Lineage: Eukaryota; Metazoa; Arthropoda; Insecta; Lepidoptera; Bombycidae
Description: ovarian small RNA-35229
Source: RNAcentral